Molecule: long non-coding RNA, 835 nt
Filed under: Brachypodium distachyon (stiff brome)
Lineage: Eukaryota; Viridiplantae; Streptophyta; Magnoliopsida; Poales; Poaceae
Description: long non-coding RNA (BDIS_LNC001528)
Source: RNAcentral
AGACAUUCUAGACCUUAAAUACAACAAUUUCAACUUUGAUAAACUUCCUUCUUUCAAAGGCAUAGCGAAUAAGAUCCGAUAAGCAAUAGAAGCACAAAGAAUUCACAAAUUUAACCAGACUAGAUACUUUCAACUUUGAGAAACCUCUUUCAGCUCUUGGACACUUUCUAGACGAAGAUGGCUUCUUAGUUCUGAAAUUUAACGACACUAGAUAAAUUCACAAAUUGAAAAUUGCAGCAUACAGAAUUAAAGAUGGCUGGAUUGAUAAGAUGCUCACCCUGCCGUUGUCUCUUGUCUGCCGAUGCAUUUACACCAAUCAAACGAACCGCCGCCGCCGCAGCAGCCAGCAGCAUGGCUCUGGCGGGCAGGAAGACUUGCAGACUGCCAAAUGCAUUUUCACCAAUCCAGGACUGAAGGAAGGAGAGCGCAGGCGGCAGCAGGAGUCAGGAGUCAAUCUUCUUUUUUUUUUUUGAGCGAGGAGUCAGGAGUCAAUCGAUCGGGAUUGAAAUUGCAGUCUUGCAGACGAGGUUUGGGCCAGCCCAUGUACGUAUAGUUGUAUACCAGGCCAAUGCAUGUAUAACAGGGUAGGGGGCUCUCUAAAAUUCGAGGCCCUGUGCGUGCACCCCCAGGGCCGGGCCUGGGAAAUUGCAGACGAGGUUUGGGCCAGCCCGACCUUACUGUAGCCUUGAGCUGCAGCAACUGCUCCGUGUGGGCUUACCUUGCAGGGAAGAGAUGGCCUAGGGGAAAUAUGAAAAAGAAAAGAGAGAGAUGGGCUUUGGCCUGGAAAGAAAAGGGCAAAAGAGAAUGAGAGGUAGAGUAGGGAGAAGUUGGGCCU